RNAcentral lists this ribosomal RNA (255 nucleotides) under uncultured bacterium. RNAcentral describes it as "partial 16S ribosomal RNA". It matches the Rfam family "Bacterial small subunit ribosomal RNA", at positions 524 to 776 of the family's 1533-position model. The record is from RNAcentral.
UACGGGGGGAGCAAGCGUUGUUCGGAUUUACUGGGCGUAAAGCGUGCGCAGGCGGUGAUGUAAGACAGAUGUGAAAUCCCCGGGCUUAACCUGGGAAUGGCAUUUGGGACUGCAAGGCUCGAGUGCGGCAGAGGAGACGUGGAAUUCCUGGUGUAGCAGUGAAAUGCGUAGGAUAUUGGGAGGAACACCAGUGGCGAAGGCGGCUCACUGGACCGGAACUGACGCUGAGGCGCGAAAGCGUGGGGAGCAAACAGG